CCCUUUGAUACUCUGGGCGGCACGCGCGCUACACUGGUUUAUAUAACGUGUAAUUUGGACGAUAGUCUGUAUAAAUCACUAAUAUAAAACCGUGAAUGGGAUAGUUUAUUGCAACUUACAAACUUUAACUAGGAAUCCCUUGUAGAAGUAGUGAAUUAUACUGCUUCGAAUACGUCCCUGCCGAUUGUACACACCGCCCGUCGUUUGUUCCGACUGGUACUCAUUGUGAAUUGCGAGGAGAUUCUGUCAAAUCGUUGUAAAUGCUGGGUAUUGGAGGAAGAAAAAGUCGUAACA
RNAcentral lists this ribosomal RNA (294 nucleotides) under uncultured eukaryote. Its description in RNAcentral is "partial 18S ribosomal RNA". It matches the Rfam family "Eukaryotic small subunit ribosomal RNA", at positions 1470 to 1796 of the family's 1831-position model. The record is from RNAcentral.